AUCUUUGCGCUUGAGGCAACGACGCAAUUAAUAAGGUUCUAACCGAGAUGUGUCUAUUGAAAACUAUUUUCAAACCCCCUCUUGGGCCUGCGUUAAGCCCAGUGCCCUUGAGAAUUUCUGGAAGAGACCCCGGGGCA
Rosa chinensis is the source of this 137-nucleotide small nuclear RNA. RefSeq annotates it as U4 spliceosomal RNA. The record is from RefSeq and is a predicted model, not a curated record. NCBI's taxonomy places the organism in Eukaryota, Viridiplantae, Streptophyta, Magnoliopsida, Rosales, Rosaceae. The transcript has a single exon.